RNAcentral lists this long non-coding RNA (1376 nucleotides) under Equus caballus (horse). RNAcentral describes it as "lncRNA (ENSECAG00000044601.1)". The record is from RNAcentral. Lineage: Eukaryota; Metazoa; Chordata; Mammalia; Perissodactyla; Equidae.
CUCACCCAUCCCAUACAGAGAUGCCCAGGCCUCAGCCAGGGCAGGAAGUGUUCCUGGGACCAGGGCCCUCCUCCUUGACCACCCCACCCCCAACAAGGACACCUUAUGGGGGCAGGGCAAUAUGUGACCACUCAGAUCCCACCCUUGCACAAGGGCCCACGUAGGAGGAAGGAGACCCAGCGUGUCCCCCAGGUGCUCCCAUUCCUCUCCUCCAUCCGCCCAGGGACACAAGCCAGACUGAUUCGUCCAUGUGCCCACUCUGGGCUGCGCCCUCUUCUGCUGCAACUGUAGGGAGCAGCCAACGCCAGCGAGAGACGAAAGCAGACGCUGUCGCUAGGAGCCAGAGUCACUCACACCACAGCUUCCAUCCUCCGUGAUCUGGUCUGCACAAGCACUCCAUCCUGCAGUUAGUCCAGCCCUGCAAACGGAGCCCGAGUCAGGACGGACCCAACCUGGCCUUUCAGGACCCGGCCUCUGCAGGCUGGUGCUGGAGUAGACUUCAAGGUGACCGCUCACCCCCCAGGAGGUGGAGCAAGAACCCUCCACCCUCAGCAUCCCCUCAGCCAGACCAGCACGUGGGCCCGGAGAGAAGGAAUCCGAGCACACGCCUCUCACCCCCUGCCACCCUUACCCUGCUUCCUCCAUGGUCCCUCGUGGGGAAGGAGUGGCUCUGCACUUCCUGUUUGCCAUUACCUGAGCCCUUGCCACCUGGGGAGUGAUAAACUUUGUGAUCUCAUCAGCCAAGCCUGGACUUCCAUAUGCUACCGGAGGAUCUCUGUCAACAAUCCCCCUAUUUCCGCAAAGCCUGGACUUCCAUACCAUCAUCUCCAUAACGAGGUCAAAAAAGUCAGCUUGGAGUCCCGAGGAUGACCACUUCCCACCCCUUCCCUGUGGCAAUGUCUGAUGGCUCAUCCUCUGAGACGGCAGCUGCAAGAAAACGUGAAUGAAAGGGUGAUUUUAAAAAGGAAUCCGUUCAAAUAGUUAAGAUGGGUCGCUCCUGUGGUGUUCCUGUUUUUCCUUUUUCAAGAUUCUCAGAGCUACUACUAUCUGCGUUCUCCUGAGGAGGGGAAGGGCGCUUCACUCUACCCAGCCUACUGGGAGAGGGCUUAAGAGUGGCCCUGUCCAUCUCAUGUGACCUUCUGGCCCCAGACCCCAAUAAAAUCCUCAAAUAUUCUCCUUGCCACGGAUACAUGGAGUUCAAGAGCCUUGACAUAUACACUAAUGUGCUCAGUGUCAUUCAGGAACCAGGUUGGCUGCAUAGAACAGAAAAACCAAAUAACAGUGGCUUAAACAAAAUAGGAGCUCAUUUGUCUCACAUAAUGAGGAGAUCAAACAUUAAAAAUUCAGGGCAGUCUAGCAUCCCCAUGACGUUCUCC